Molecule: unclassified non-coding RNA, 528 nt
Filed under: Metalasia oligocephala
Lineage: Eukaryota; Viridiplantae; Streptophyta; Magnoliopsida; Asterales; Asteraceae
Description: partial contains external transcribed spacer and 18S ribosomal RNA
Source: RNAcentral
UUUUGGCUUUUGGCGGUUUGCCUAGCAUUUGGGCUUGGUGGGCGGCUAUUAGCUGGGUGGUUUCGGGGAUGUCUACCGUAAAGGUGCAUGAGUGGUGUUUGGUUUGUUACGGGUGGUUGGCUCUUUGCUUGCGCAACAACUUCCACCUGGCAUACCUCUUCAGUUUUUGCGUCAAUGCUUGUAUCGCAUUGAAUGCAACGUGGGUUUCUUGUGUUGCAUACCAAAUUGAUGGUAUCGUUUGAUGAAUUGAUGUCCCUUAUUCGUCUUGUGUCGCCCACGCGAUGUGAGACGAACUUUGAAGCGGUCUUUGUGAUCCACUCUUUUGAUGCACAUGCGUUGAUGGUGUGGCCCAUUAAGUGUCGCUUGGUCUCAUGGAUAUGGAACCUGGUUUGGGCAUGGGAUAAGAUCCUUGUUUGCCCUUCUUUAGCUUUUCUAAUACGAUUGACUAUCACGUAUGGCUCGUCUCAGCGUGGUAGUCUAUGUCGAAGAUGAAUGCUACCUGGUUGAUCCUGCCAGUAGUCAUAUGCU